This 525-nucleotide ribosomal RNA is filed under the name uncultured bacterium. RNAcentral describes it as "bacterial LSU rRNA". It matches the Rfam family "Bacterial large subunit ribosomal RNA", at positions 662 to 1187 of the family's 2925-position model. The record is from RNAcentral.
GAAGCCGGAGCGAAAGCGAGUCUGAAUAGGGCGUAUAGUCGCGUGCUGUAGACCCGAAGCCGAGUGAUCUAUCCAUGGGCAGGUUGAAGCGAGGGUAAGACCUCGUGGAGGACCGAACCCACCUAGGUUAAAAACUGGGGGGAUGACCUGUGGAUAGGGGUGAAAGGCCAAUCAAACUCGGUGAUAGCUGGUUCUCCCCGAAAUGCAUUUAGGUGCAGCGUCGUUUGUUCAGUCAUGGGGGUAGAGCACUGGAUGGGUUAGGGGCCUACAAGCUUACCGACCCCAACCAAACUCCGAAUACCAUGACUCCAGAGAACGGCAGUGAGACUGCGGGGGAUGAGCUUCGCAGUCGAAAGGGAACAGCCCAGACCGCCGGCUAAGGCCCCUAAUUCUAGACUAAGUGGAAAACGAUGUGAGAUUGCCCAGACAGCCAGGAGGUUGGCUUAGAAGCAGCCACCCUUGAAAGAGUGCGUAACAGCUCACUGGUCGAGUGAUCUUGCGCGGAUAAUGUAACGGGGCUCAAGU